AUUGAACGCUGGCGGCAGGCCUAACACAUGCAAGUCGAGCGGAUGAAGGGAGCUUGCUCCUGGAUUCAGCGGCGGACGGGUGAGUAAUGCCUAGGAAUCUGCCUGGUAGUGGGGGAUAACGUCCGGAAACGGGCGCUAAUACCGCAUACGUCCUGAGGGAGAAAGUGGGGGAUCUUCGGACCUCACGCUAUCAGAUGAGCCUAGGUCGGAUUAGCUAGUUGGUGGGGUAAAGGCCUACCAAGGCGACGAUCCGUAACUGGUCUGAGAGGAUGAUAAGUCACACUGGAACUGGGACACGGUCCAGACUCCUACGGGAGGCAGCAGUGGGGAAUAUUGGACAAUGGGCGAAAGCCUGAUCCAGCCAUGCCGCGUGUGUGAAGAAGGUCUUCGGAUUGUAAAGCACUUUAAGUUGGGAGGAAGGGCAGUAAGUUAAUACCUUGCUGUUUUGACGUGACCAACAGAAUAAGCACCGGCUAACUUCGUG
RNAcentral lists this ribosomal RNA (484 nucleotides) under uncultured bacterium. RNAcentral describes it as "partial 16S ribosomal RNA". It matches the Rfam family "Bacterial small subunit ribosomal RNA", at positions 30 to 507 of the family's 1533-position model. The record is from RNAcentral.